UGCUCUCGGAGGCUGAGUCUGUUGAGGUCUGGGGAGGCAAGCGUGACUUGGAUCUGGUCUACAGCAGCAUGGAGGUUCUUCACCUCUGCCUCCAAACGCAACAUGUCCUGAGGAAAGACACAGGCACAUCUAGUCGACACCCUUGUCUUCCAGUUUCAGAGCGAUGGUCUUGAGCUUCAUCUCGAUGUCCUGGAGUCUGGAGCCGAAGUCCUCUUUCACAUCUCUCGUCUGCUGCACUUCCCUUUCCCUGGCCUGGACCUAAAGCAGAGGGCGGAAAUACAAACAGUUCAUUGUACUGUCAAACACUAAGAGACUUUAAACAGUGCUAUUAUGGAUAUUUCAGCAUGAACUCUCUGGAUACUCUUAAAAGCCCUGCAGUAGGAAAGUCAUACACUAGGGUGCAUAGUGGAAAUCAUACAAGUGGAUUCAAGCUUAACUCUGACAUAAAAUACUUGAAAGUGU
Acanthopagrus latus (yellowfin seabream) is the source of this 462-nucleotide long non-coding RNA. RefSeq lists it as uncharacterized. The transcript is spliced from 2 exons. The record is from RefSeq and is a predicted model, not a curated record. NCBI's taxonomy places the organism in Eukaryota, Metazoa, Chordata, Actinopteri, Spariformes, Sparidae.